RNAcentral lists this ribosomal RNA (253 nucleotides) under uncultured bacterium. RNAcentral describes it as "partial 16S ribosomal RNA". It matches the Rfam family "Bacterial small subunit ribosomal RNA", at positions 524 to 776 of the family's 1533-position model. The record is from RNAcentral.
UACGUAGGGUGCGAGCGUUAAUCGGAAUUACUGGGCGUAAAGCGUGCGCAGGCGGUUCGUUGUGUCGGCGGGGAAAGCCCCGGGCUUAACCUGGGAAUGGCCGUCGAAACUGGCGAACUGGAGUGUGGCAGAGGGGGGUGGAAUUCCGCGUGUAGCAGUGAAAUGCGUAGAGAUGCGGAGGAACACCGAUGGCGAAGGCAGCCCCCUGGGCUGACACUGACGCUGAGGUGCGAAAGCAUGGGGAGCAAACAGG